GACAUGAUUGAGCAACUGACACUUUCACUUCAGUUUGAGAACUGCUCUUUUAGAGACUAGUGUGGAAGAGGGAGCAGCCCAGUGUUACCAAACCACGUGCGUUUGCCAACAUGCAGCAAACCAAACGCUGAGAUCCUGAGGCUUAGAAAGAGUUUACUCAUAUGGCAGCCAGUCAAGGAUAUGGGAGUACAAUUAUCAAAUCUGCUUCCCUGAAGUUAGGGUGGUUGGGUUAUGUAUGGGGUAAGCAAGAUGGUCUUAGGCUUGGGGAAAGGUUCUUGGAGGCAGGGAAGAGGUGAAGUAAUUGAUAUUUUGAGAAGGUGCUUCUGGAUGACAAGUUUCUGUAUAUUCACAAUGGAGGUGAACUGAGGGCAGAGUUUUCCAGUCCUCUGACAUCAACAGGCCAUUCAUCAGACAUCUGUGAGGCCCAGGUUUAGUGUUGGUGGUCCCAACUGGCUGUAGCUGGCUCACACUGGGCAGAAGUGAAAGUGUGAAAGUAGCCCACCAGGCUCCUCUGUCCAUGGAAUUCCAGGCAAGAAUACUGGAUUGUGUUGCCAUUUUCUUCUCCAGAGGAUCUUCCUGACUUAGGGGUUGAAUCUGGGUCUCCUGCAUUGCAGGUAGAUUCUUUACUGUCUGAGCCAUCAGAGAAGCCCCCACACUGGACAGAAGCUGACUCCAAGUUCCUGUAAAACAACUGGUCUGCGUGAAACUGGGAAGGCAAUUUACAAGCAAGGGAGUUUUAACAAGCUGUUCCCUUAUCUGCUCACCUUUUACAGGAACAUUGUGACAUGACCUACAUGGAGAGCUUCAAGAACAAAGGAUUCUGGCCCAAGGAGUGUGCACAGCCAAAUACACCCCUUCUCUAUUAAGUAUAAAAGAAGUCUGAAUUCUACUUUGAUAAGAUGAUUCUCUAGGACACAGUCCACCAUCUUCUCAGACUCCUGGCUUUCUGAAUAAAGUUGUUAUUCCUUGCCCCAACACCUCAUCUCCUGAUUGUGCAUUGACCAGAAUGAGUCUGGACUCAGUAGCAAUCCCUCUCCUGCAGACAAGGAGCUUGUGGUGUCAAGGAGUAUGAUGUGAUUAUUUUUUCAGACUCCUCUUUGUGAUGAUGAGAAAAAGCAGAUUCUAUGCCUCUGAAUUCUAAUUCUUGAUAUCUGUGUUUUUCCAGUAAAUCCAGCUCAUUAUAUUUUUACACAUGACACUAGAAUUUGUCCUCACCCACCUUUAAUUAUAAUAAAAAUUCCUAUUUCAUAGAAGGAAAUGAAUGCAGUGAAGUUUCUGUACUGUUAUACGUAUGACAUUUGCUAGAUAGAUAUCUAAAGGGUCUCCCUGCUCUGCUAGCAGACUGAUUUCCUCCAGGUGACAGACUAAUUUUUUUUUUUUUUACAGGUUCUCCUUGCCAGGAGUAUCUCCCUGGUCCACCAUCAUCAAUGACUAUCCUUGAGUCUGGUAUAGAUGAGUAUUCCCCUUCUGAAGUAUAAAGACUCCUUUGGGUCUUUUAUAUUGUAUCUUCUGGCAUACAGUCCUCUUCUGAUCACAGAACCUGACCUCUCUAAAGGAAAUGAAUGUAUUUUGAUUAUAACUGCACACCUUGCAACCAAGCAGGACUCUAUGGGGUUUUCUGAGACAGACAUCCCCCACCUCCAUGUCCUCUACCUGCCUCUUGUUUGUAGAAAGCUUUAGUCUCCCAGGCCUCCCCUGAGUCACAAAAGGCUGGCUCAAGAAUGAACAAUUGAAAGAAUGUGAAUGUGUAAUAACAAAGAAAACAGCAGUUGGGCCAGGAGAUUCAGUAACCAUUUAAACAGUAAAUCAGCCACAUGGCAGUCACAGAAUCUUUAAUUCCUCAGAGAAGGACAUAGAUAAUGGUGUUUGAUGCACAUCCCUGAAUUGUUCUGCAGGUACUAAAACGUCCACCAGAUGGAAGCAGGUAACUUCAUGAUGACCAUGAGCAUGUAAACCCUAGACUGGCUAGAGUCUAAGGAUUGAUGAUGUUAACCCCUGUGAAAGCAGCUUGUUACCUCACCCUCAACCAAUCAGAGAAUUGUGCACAAGCUGAUCAUGCACCUUGCAACUGUCUCUGUCAGCUUGCCUUUAAAAACAUUUUCCUGAAAUCCAUCAAGGAGUUAAGGGUCUUUUAAAUAUUUGCCACCUGUACUCCUUGCUUGGUUCCUGCAAUAAAGGUUGUGGUUUGCUUCACCACAACCUGCGAUCAGUAGAUUGACUUUAUUGUGUAUGAGAGAGUGUCCCCAAGUUUGGCUUGGUAACAAUCUUAGCCUACCAUACCCCUAUUCCUUUCUUCUCCCAGCUAUAGAGAUGGGCAUAUGCCCCCAAACCAGGGCUGUCAAGACUCCUUCUCAGAACCUCUUCAGGGGAUUUGCAGAUGUUCUCAUACAAUAGGAGCUGUAGGACUGGUACUUUGCCAGUCUUGGGGUGCUGGGGAUGCUCAUGCCUGCUCCAUGAGGAGAGUUUGAGGGACACAGUAUUUGUGCACUUCAUGUAGCUGUGCCUCAGGGCAGUAUAACUUCUGGACUUCUUAGCUGAAGUGACCCCCAAAUACCUUUUUAUUGCUUAAGUGAAAUUCUGUCAGGUGUAGUCAAUAGUCUGCCUAAUUUCAUUAGGGCUUUACUGCUUUAGCUGAAUACUUUCCUGGCAAGUUUAUAAAGACUGGGAAUUGCUUUAGGAGUUGAGCCAUCACAGGGCCUUCUUGGUCAAGUUUGUGUUUUCCCUGGCAAUUAAAUUCCUUUAACAUCCAGCAAGUGCCAGAAAUCUUACUGAGUCACGAUUCCAGAAUCCAGAUUCUGCCUUGGAUGUGUCAGUCUCUUGGCAACAGCAGUUGUCUCUCCCUGAAGCGCUAGGUCACAGUUGAAUACUUCUGUUUUUGCUGCUACCUGUGAAACAAUAGCUGUACAAUGGACAAACUGCCUUGGUACCUUAGACAGCCCUCGAGCAGACCAGUCCCAGCACUUGAACAGAGCAUUCCUCUUCAGGGGACGAAAACCAUAGUCCAGAUCAAGAAGCAUAAACGAGGAAAUUGGAAAUCCCACAUUGUUCUAUUUCCGAGUGAAAAGCUUUGACUCACCACUAGAGGGCACUAUUCACCCUCUCAUCUUUCUGAAGGCUUCAGCCCAGCAUGGCUCGUUUUCAAAUGAAAAUAACUGCAUUUACUAAGGCAUACGUCAGAGAUAUUGCGGAUUCACUUCAAGAUGGCUGCAAUAAAGUGAAUAUCACAAAAAAGGUGAAUUACUCAACUUUCUCUUCCACACUGGUGGCCAUGUAUCUGUGGAUGUAAUGAAGAGCACUUUCUCCCCAAGAUGAAGGAUGGAAGAAAAUGUUAAAUAGCUUCAGAUCUAGGAUGAUCUUCUGCAUGAAUUUCAGUUAAAAAUUUCAGGGUCAUCUGCAAUAAAAUUUACUUAAAUCAA
Long non-coding RNA from Bubalus bubalis (water buffalo), 3416 nucleotides. RefSeq lists it as uncharacterized. NCBI's taxonomy places the organism in Eukaryota, Metazoa, Chordata, Mammalia, Artiodactyla, Bovidae. The record is from RefSeq and is a predicted model, not a curated record. The transcript has 6 exons.